GCCGGGGAAGACGGUAUCCUUCAAUCUUCAUCACACCACUUUCUGCAAAGAAGUCUCCCGUGCAGAAAAAACUGUCUGACAUUCGAUCCUACAGGUCUACUAAGCCAUCUUCAGCAUCUAUUCCGUGAAUCACCAACUGUAGGCCCGCAUACCCUCGCAGCUCUUGGAAGGAUUUUCGAGUGCCCAAGAGAAUUUUGAAAUAUUCAUUAUAAUUUCUUCACUGUUCACUGAUAUGACUGUACAACAUGUGGCAAUUUCUGCUUUAUGAAUGAAAUCUCUGUCCAACACCAAGAAGUUCUAAAUGUUUAGACUGUGUUCAGGUGUGACAUUAAUUGAGGGGUUCGGGUAAAAUAACGGCGACUUUUCUGAGAAAAUUACUUAUUUUUCGUUAGUACCUUCUGUGAGACAUGAUGUACCACCAUAAUGAUUUGGAGUAUGUCCUAUGUGAGAACAUAGAAUGCUAAGCACUCUGUACACUAAUUAUUUCAAUUCCCAUUCUUUGUGUGAUGGAUUCAUACGGUGUUCACUAUAAAUUACAAACUUCUCCUAGUUGUCCAUCACCCAAAGAAGGGUAGAGCCCCCGGUCCACUGAUACAAAUACAAAUUAAUAAUACUUUUACUAUCUCCAAAACUAAUGUGUCAAUCCAGAAGAUCACAAUCCUCCUCCUACUCCUUCAUGUAUGAUCAAUGUUUUAUUAAAAUUUGAUUAAAUUA
Molecule: long non-coding RNA, 714 nt
Organism: Cryptotermes secundus
Lineage: Eukaryota; Metazoa; Arthropoda; Insecta; Blattodea; Kalotermitidae
Exons: 2
Source: RefSeq, a predicted model, not a curated record